Priapulus caudatus is the source of this 309-nucleotide long non-coding RNA. RefSeq lists it as uncharacterized. The transcript is spliced from 4 exons. Lineage: Eukaryota; Metazoa; Priapulida; Priapulimorpha; Priapulimorphida; Priapulidae. The record is from RefSeq and is a predicted model, not a curated record.
CGCGAGCUAGUAUCGUUGAGUAUUUUGGUGUGACGGAAGGUCACCGCUGCGGUUAUUGCGGUCAGAAGGACACUAAGAUAUCGCACGGGAUGUGGGUACACACCAUGACCCUCAGCGACUAUGAGAUGCUGCUAGAACGAGGAUGGAGGAGGAGUGGCAAGUACUGCUUUAAGCCCCUCAUGGAGAAAUGCUGCUGCCCCAUGUACAUGAUCAGGCUUCCUGUCGAGGACUUCCGGAUGACGCGAUCGCAGAAGAGGCUCCUGAGGAGGGUGCACCGCUACCUAAGCACGGGGGAGAAGCCGUGGGGAG